This is a long non-coding RNA of Exaiptasia diaphana, 569 nucleotides long. RefSeq lists it as uncharacterized. The transcript is spliced from 3 exons. The record is from RefSeq and is a predicted model, not a curated record. NCBI's taxonomy places the organism in Eukaryota, Metazoa, Cnidaria, Anthozoa, Actiniaria, Aiptasiidae.
UCUGCUCAUAGAUAUAGAAAGGUUUUGUCCUGGCCGCUAAAAACCCACGAUUUGUCUCCCCCUAUUCAUUUCUAGCGUUGAUUCUCUCUGAUUUAAGCCAGUUUCUUAAAAUUUAAAGCGAAAGUGGUUUCGAUUUAAGGUUUUAAAGAUUCACCGUUUAGUGAUGGUCCGACUUCCUGGAAUAUGGUCAUUUCCUAAGCACACACAGACAAAAUACCAWAAUGGAGAAAUACAAUGUAAACCAACGUAAAGGUGUUAAAAAGAAAUAUUGAAUAGAUCGUAAAGAUUAUUUACAGACUUUGGAAAAAAUUACAAGAACGCCAUUAUGAGCAUGCGUGAUGGGUGAUAAAAUACACUAUAUAUAAGCCUAUCCCACAUGCUUGGUUGAAAGCUUCCUGUCACCUGAUCUUACAUAUGUACAAGUAUAAAAUGUUUGAAACUUUACAUAAUUUACAAUAUAUUUUGAUGCAUUUCCUUGGAAACAGCAUUGAUUUGAAUUGAUUUGAAUUGCUAAUCAAUAUUUAUACAAUAUAUAUUUCAAUUUUUGUUUUGUCACAAUUUUUGAUAAA